This 238-nucleotide long non-coding RNA is filed under the name Lupinus angustifolius (narrow-leaved blue lupine). RNAcentral's name for it is "long non-coding RNA (LANG_LNC002789)". The record is from RNAcentral. Lineage: Eukaryota; Viridiplantae; Streptophyta; Magnoliopsida; Fabales; Fabaceae.
CAGAUAUGAUGACACAAGCUACUCCCAUAGGCCCUCAAGAUCUAGAAUGCAAAAAAACCAGUGACUGUAUUGGAACUCCUAAAUGCGACGAAAAAUGCCAAGAUCUGUGUGACGGUGGAGUUUGCAAAUGCGUAUGUCCUACCAAAUUUCAUUAACUAGAAUUGUUUUAGUUAAGAACUUGUCCUUGAAGGUAAAGUGACUUAAUGAAUUCAAUUAUAUGAAUAAUAACGACGACCGA